CAGACUGGGGAGUUACCAGAACAGGCAAAGUUCCAGGAACAUCCAACAAUAGCCUGUUCUCAGUCAUUCUGCUGGCUGCCUGGAGAAACAUGCAUUUACAAGAUAUUUCCCCCCCUAAGUUGUUAGUUUGUUCCUUUGUUGCCUGAAGGCAGCCAUCAAUAAUUCUACAGCAGUGUUACCACAUCUCUUCCCUUGACACAGAAUGUAGGUCUCUUUGUAAUGAGAUGGAGCAAAAUUUAAAAUGAAAAAACGAGAAAGGUGACAUAAAAACAGAAAAAUAUUGACAUAAAAGCAGGUCAUGUAGCAAGAAUGUCGAGAAGAGUAUGAGGGGGUAUCUGAGAACUCGUCUUGAGCCUCUGCGAGGUAGAGAUUAUUAAUUAACACCACCUCUGGUUAUUCUAAAUAUUAUUGUUGCUUCUUAGUGAAGAUUAGGGGAAGGCACCUGAGGCAGUUCGAACAAUUAGGAAGUAGACAGUCUGAAGUCUGGAGCAACAAACAAUCUGCCUGAGGAACUAAAUUGGUCAAACUACAUCUAUGAGGUAAAAGAAUUUUUGAUGAUUGGGCUGAGACCCUACGUCACGACUGAACAAGAGCAAUUCUGGGUAUCCCCCCUCAAGGUCAGGAUAAGUAGUGACUUGAAUAUGAAGCAAAAAGGGUUGUCAGGUUGGGUUGAACCAGGGGUUCCUAUCGCAAAGUUCCAUACCUUUGACCUGUGGACUACCAGGAGAGGCAUAGACCAGGUGGACCCAAGUGCAGAGGAGACCAAAGGCAAGGAUGGAGUUGAAAGAAGAAUCUUUACUUGAGGAUUGUCUUGUGGAGAAUGCAGGCUAGAACCUAAGAAUCACCACACACAAGGAAGGCCUAUCGCUUGAUGCUGCCGGCCACCGGUCUCUGUGUGACGGACUAUCGUCUCUGCAUUCCAGUGAUCCCUCUCUCUCCCUUGAUGCUGCUGGAGGAUGUUACCAAAGUUCUGUGAUCUAUGGACUGUGGCACUUCCAGUUUUAUAGCUUUUGUAUUCUGUGUUUUUACCCAUUUGGCACGUUUUGUUAACUUUUUAUGUGUUGGGGGGUUAGGGUUCAGUAAUGAUCUUGUUGCUGUUUGUGUAAAUCUUUUGCAUGGGGGAGGAUGAUGAUCAUGUUGCUAUCUUUCUUGUUGCUGUGAUUUGUUAUUUCUUUUUGUCUGCAAGGUUGGGGUUUGCUGUUCUUGCCAUUUGUAUGAUUGUGUUUUUUUUUGUGUGGGGAGCAGGGUUUGAUGUUUACCUUUGAAUGACUAUGGUUUUCUUUGUUUCAUGGCUGCCUGGAGAAGAUGAGUCUCAGAGUUGUAUACUGCAAACAUACUUUGAUAAUAAAUGAACCUUUGAACC
This is a long non-coding RNA of Mobula hypostoma (lesser devil ray), 1363 nucleotides long. RefSeq lists it as uncharacterized. NCBI's taxonomy places the organism in Eukaryota, Metazoa, Chordata, Chondrichthyes, Myliobatiformes, Myliobatidae. The transcript has 3 exons. The record is from RefSeq and is a predicted model, not a curated record.